GGCAGGCCUAACACAUGCAAGUCGAGCGGUAACAUUUCUAGCUUGCUAGAAGAUGACGAGCGGCGGACGGGUGAGUAAUGCUUGGGAACAUGCCUUGAGGUGGGGGACAACAGUUGGAAACGACUGCUAAUACCGCAUAAUGUCUACGGACCAAAGGGGGCUUCGGCUCUCGCCUUUAGAUUGGCCCAAGUGGGAUUAGCUAGUUGGUGAGGUAAUGGCUCACCAAGGCGACGAUCCCUAGCUGGUUUGAGAGGAUGAUCAGCCACACUGGGACUGAGACACGGCCCAGACUCCUACGGGAGGCAGCAGUGGGGAAUAUUGCACAAUGGGCGCAAGCCUGAUGCAGCCAUGCCGCGUGUGUGAAGAAGGCCUUCGGGUUGUAAAGCACUUUCAGUCAGGAGGAAAGGUUAGUAGUUAAUACCUGCUAGCUGUGACGUUACUGACAGAAGAAGCACCGGCUAACUCCGUGCCAGCAGCCGCGGUAAUACGGAGGGUGCGAGCGUUAAUCGGAAUUACUGGGCGUAAAGCGUACGCAGGCGGUUUGUUAAGCGAGAUGUGAAAGCCCCGGGCUCAACCUGGGAACUGCAUUUCGAACUGGCAAACUAGAGUGUGAUAGAGGGUGGUAGAAUUUCAGGUGUAGCGGUGAAAUGCGUAGAGAUCUGAAGGAAUACCGAUGGCGAAGGCAGCCACCUGGGUCAACACUGACGCUCAUGUACGAAAGCGUGGGGAGCAAACAGGAUUAGAUACCC
Molecule: ribosomal RNA, 749 nt
Filed under: uncultured bacterium
Lineage: Bacteria
Description: bacterial SSU rRNA
Rfam family: Bacterial small subunit ribosomal RNA
Source: RNAcentral